CGGACACUUUGUCUUAUAUGAUCUGACCUAGUCAAAGCUAAGAAAGAUAUUGUAUAAAAAGUGGGGUUCACCCAACAAUAUAAAAUAAGUUAUUUGUAAUUGGGGGUCACCCAAAUUCUUGCGCAAUAAAUGAGUAAGGGCGGCACAGUAGUAAAUAGUGGGGUUACCACUAAACAUACACAGGUGGUUUAUACCACUAAUAAGAUCAAGUGGGGUUCACCACUAAGGUAUUUGGACAGGUGGUUAUGUCCUUUAUUAUAGAACCAGUGUUGGGUCACUUUAAUUACU
Molecule: non-coding RNA, 288 nt
Organism: Pelobates cultripes (western spadefoot toad)
Lineage: Eukaryota; Metazoa; Chordata; Amphibia; Anura; Pelobatidae
Source: the annotation of a GenBank genome assembly